RNAcentral lists this transfer RNA (90 nucleotides) under Candidatus Auribacterota bacterium. RNAcentral's name for it is "tRNA-Ser". It matches the Rfam family "tRNA". Rfam says of the family: Transfer RNA (tRNA) molecules are approximately 80 nucleotides in length. Their secondary structure includes four short double-helical elements and three loops (D, anti-codon, and T loops). The record is from RNAcentral. Lineage: Bacteria; Pseudomonadati; Candidatus Auribacterota.
GGAGGGAUGGCAGAGUCUGGUUGAUCGCGGCGGUCUUGAAAACCGUUGUUCCGCAAGGAACCGGGGGUUCGAAUCCCUCUCCCUCCGCCA